Molecule: ribosomal RNA, 136 nt
Filed under: uncultured bacterium
Lineage: Bacteria
Description: partial 16S ribosomal RNA
Rfam family: Bacterial small subunit ribosomal RNA
Source: RNAcentral
UGGGGAAUAUUGCACAAUGGGGGAAACCCUGAUGCAGCGACGCCGCGUGAAGGAAGAAGUAUCUCGGUAUGUAAACUUCUAUCAGCAGGGAAGACAAUGACGGUACCUGACUAAGAAGCCCGGCUAACUACGUGCC